GUCGGAUCGUCCAACCAUGUUCUAAAGAUCAUCUUCCGUAGAAGGAACUGUGGGUGACAGUGGCAAUUGAAUCAUUAUCAGCUCGGUUGAGGGGAUAGCAUUCGUUGUCACUUGUCUCAUUGAAUUCCAUCUUUUCAUCCAAAAAAGGUGGAUUAGUAGGUGCAGGGAGGUCUUCAUCUUUCUUUGUUAGCAAGUGUAGUACCUUCGACAUUGAUGGUCUUAGUGACGGGAUCUCUUGGGUGCAAAGAAGUCCAAUUUGUACCGCUCUGAAAAUUUCAUUCCUAACGUUGCUGCCAUUGUUGUCAUUGUGUAACAUUAGAUUUGGGUCAUAAAUCUCCUCCACAGUCCCUAACUGAAAAUGUCUCCAAGUCUGCUCCAUCACACGCAACAAAAACACAUAUAAGAAAUCCUUUGUUCUCGAAUGAAAGUCAGCUAGUUAAGUGGUGGUUCAAGUAGGAGAACAGUGGCAGAUUUAGAACAAGGGACUGAAGCUUACAACUGUUACUAUGCUGUCUGAAUAUUCUGUUGCUUUGCUCUUGUUGUUUUGCUUCCCUGUAACUAUUUCGAGUAAAAGCACCCCGAAACUAUAGACAUCUGCUUUCUCGGUUAACUGGCCAUGGGCUAGGUACUCCGGAGCCAUAUAUCCUCUGUAAAAUUUGAAAAUUUAGAACUAUUAGCCAAUCUAUAGUGAAUCAUGCCUGGAACAGACAGGACAGGAGGAAUGUGAUCCUUACAGGGUCCCGGCAAUGGCAGUGCUGAUGUGACUCUGAUCUUCCUGGAAAGACCUUGCCAACCCGAAGUCGGCAAUUUUAGCUCGCAGCUUCGAAUCCAACAAGAUAUUGCUAGCUUUUAUAUCUCUGUGAAUAAUUUUGGCCUCGGAGUUCUCAUGAAGAUAAACUAAACCUUCUACAGUUCCAAUAAUAACUACGUAUCUCUUCUCCCAAUCAAGUAAUUUGCCUCUGCUGGGAUCUGUUAUGUUUUUGGAAGGAAAAAGAAUUCUGUUAGUGAACAUAUUUAAAUAUUAUUUUAAGCUUGGUGUCAUCGAUAUAUGUAAAGUAUCGGUAUUUACCAAAGAUGAAGCGAUCCAAGCUCUUGUUUGGGAGGAACUCAUAGACGAGAAGACUUUCAGGUCCCGAACAACUACAUCCCAACAAUCUGACCAGGUUUUUAUGCUCCACACUGCUUAUAAGUUUGACUUCAUUGUAGAAAUCGGCUGCCCUAUGUCGAUUGUUAAAGAACAACCUUUUGACAGCAAUCUCUCUUCCAUCAGGUAGAACUCCCUACAGAGACACAAAACGAAAUAUCAGACCAUAAAACAAAGGAAGAAUGCCAAAGACGAGCAAUGGUGUUCAGAGGAAUAGAAUAAGUGCCUUAUAAACCGUCCCGAAUCCUCCUUGCCCAAGCUUGUUGGCAUCAUUGAAAGAUCCCGUAGCACGAUCGAGUGUAGAGUACUUGAAGUUUAAGUUGCUAUCAUGAAGGAGUUUCACAAAUUUUUCUGAAUCAUUUGAACCUGAAAAUGAAGGCAACCCGUUUUAACCAAAAGGAAGACGUGGAAAACUAGGUAACACAAUUUUGGAAUCAGUACCAUAUUAUUAACCCCAAACUUGCCUAACCACAAAACCAUGUAAUUGAAUAAUUCAUAUAACCUUGACCGACUUACGUUACCUAGAUUCAGAGCAGAAUGUUUAGUGCAGGGGUCUCAGCAUCGGCAUGCUUAAUUUAUUGCUCUCAUAUUUUUAUCCCUUUAUUGUCGUUUAUUUAUUUUUUGUGCAUGGGAAUUUGAUAGGUAAAUCUUGUAAAUAAACAUUUUACCUCGUCUUUUCUUUUGUAUGUAUCUGUACUUCCAGAUAUAGACUCCAAUAGCAACUCCGAUCGCCAAAACAAUCAGGGAACUGACGAUAGAAACUACUAUGAUUAUAACGGUUCCUGAAGUUCACCAAUCCGAGUUUCACAGUCAGCUUUAAAUAAAUGAAAAAAAGGAUUAACGCAUUAAUUAACUAAUAUUUGAAAGAGUGAGAUGUGAUAAUUACCUCUUGAUAUUCCAUUUCCGGGUUCUUUAUUGAGGAAAUCUGUAUCAGAGUACCUGAUGAAGCAGCCAGUGUUGAGUGCGCGUCCCUCCGACCAAGGCAAGCACCCUAGUACCGAUGCUGAUGCAUUCUCUAGACAUGUUUUACAAGAAGUAUUGUUUAAUGUCCUCCAGCAAUUAGCCAAAACAUAAGCCGACUCAUUUGUGCCCGAAACUGCCACCUGAGCCUUAGCAUACCCUUCAUUUCCCAAUGCAGCAGCAACUGCAUGCGACACUGCCUGCCGUGCUGAUUCUUGAAAAUUCAACCCUUUGCGGCUUGUAUUCCCGCACACUGCCCUGUCGUCUGGUCCUGUGUGCUCCUCAAAGAAGCUAUAAUUCUCGGCUCUCAUGAAGCAUCCGUCGAGAAAAAUGCGACCCCCGUUGAACGGAUAGCAUUGAGGAAGAACCGUACGUGCCUCGGCAUAGCACAAUACGCAGUCAAGCGACGAUAGAUCCCCAUAACACUGAGCAAGACCAUAGUUCGUAUCAAGCCCAGAACCUGUAACUGCUGUCCCAAAGCCUGAAUCACGCAUCUGUUCACUGAUAUUCUCCAUUGUAGCAACAAAGUUAGAAACAUAGAUGGUCCCGUUGUGCUCAAGUUGGUGGCCACAUGAAAUAUUCACUGUUUUGGCUCUUGGAUCUCCUUUCACUCCUUCAAGUAAUGCCAGAAACCCCAUAAGAACCAAGAAAAUAUAUCCAGAACCGACUACCUGAACUGGUUUAUCCAUUUUUUACGGUUACUUUGAAGGUUAGAGAAGCUAAAUCAUCUACUACAAGGCUCAAGACAUUGGUCAAGUUCCAUCAACAGUGAAUUUAUCAAUGAACUGAAAAGAAAAUGCAAAUCAUAGAGAUACCAAAGAAAAAGAUAAAUACAAAUUGAGAAAUACCAAAGAAAUUGAAAAAUUGUUGUAAAAUUAAUUGUCCUUGGCAAUUUUGUCAAAGAACUGACCACGAAAGGCGAGAGAAAAUGGCCCACCUGGAAAACUAGAUUGAAUUGAAUAAGUAAUUAAAAAAUAUGGCAAGGUAUCGUGUUCAUAUUGGGUCAUCUCGAAACAGAGACAAGCUACUCGGCAGUUGUCUGUCAUACAAAGGGCUCUUAAAUUCAAAUUGACUCAACUUGGUCUAAAUAUUUUAUUACCUUUGAAAUAUAACAGGAGUGAAUGUAACCUAAUUCAGAAAACACUUUUAACGUAUUUAAUCCCAAUCUAAUUAUUAAAAUUAAUACAACUACCAGUUAUUGGUGUUUAGAAAUGUCGGUACCACCCACGUUUAUAGUAGAACACGUUGCAAUAGGACCCGAUUAUUAUAAAUGUCACGGCAUUUUCCAAUAUUAAAACAAAAUUCAUAUAAAAAUGUUUUAUUCCUCUUUUAAAUUAAAACAUGUCAUUAGUUUUUUAAUAUAUUUCAUCCAUGUAUGAAUAUUUGUUUCUUUAAAGAAAACAGAUGGUAAGAAAUGAUUGGAAACCUUUCAUAACUUGAUAAAUAACAAUCAAAAUUUGGAUGGUAUAAAUAAAAAGAGAAGCUGCAAAAGAAGAUCGUUUGGCUUGUUGCACUUGCUGGCUUAACUGAGCCAUACCCAUAAAAGCAUUAAUCAACAAAAACAGAAGGCAUAGGGUCGGUUGUUCAAAGCUCAAACUGACAAUUAAUCCCAAAUGAAUGUAGAAUUGUCUGUUUUAUUCUUCGACCAAAUUAUUAAUUAUGUCUACAACUCAAGAUAUAUCAGAUCACAUAAACACUUUGAUUUAAGACCCAGAAAACAACAACAGAUCUACAAAUACCAUAAACAGAAAAAGAACUUACCUUAAGUGCAAUGAACAGCAAACAACUUGACUCGCAGAAAAGAAGAGCAACAAUUGGAAUGCAGAAGUGGAAGUGAGGAUUAGCUUAGGGUUUAAAAUUCAAAGCAAGAAGCUGAUUUCCUGCGCGUUAGUGAAGCGGUGGGAAGUGGGACGCCAACCUUUUAAGAAACAAGACAAAAGCCAGGCAAGUAAAAUAGAGAAUAGGAAAAGGGAAGAAAACCACGGUAAGAGAGUUGAAUUUUUUUCUUCUUUUAUACGAAGAAAUUCCCUUGUCUCUGCAAUAUUUCUUGUCACGUAACAUGUAUUAGUGAAUUUUGUGUAAAUUAACUCACACUGCUCACUCAUCUAAAAGUUCUUUUCAAACAAAUUUCAGAUGGGUUUUCAUAAAGAAAUGAAAAUUCGUCAAGGAAUAGAUUCAUUGGCCUCUGCCCAUUAAUUUGGUAUGGUGUUUUUAUCAUUCCAUUUUCCAGAAAAGAAUAUAAUAAACAAUUAUACCAUGUUUGGUUAGAGUUUUUAUUUUUCAUAUGUUUCUGUCAUUAUUUAGUUCUAAACUAUUUAUAAUCGGUAAUUUAUUAAGCUUUGCGAGCUUGAUGUGUUAAUUGUUUAAAACGCGUAGGUAAAAUAACUAUUCUGAGAAGCUAUCAUGUAUUGGGAGAAUCACAUUUCCAUACAAGAUUUGAUUGGUUUAGAGAAUUUAGCUUGUAUUAGAUGAGCUUAAAAUGAUAUAUACAUAGAUUAAGUGUAUUAUUUAUUACGCUUGUAAGCUUUGUGGUGUUUUCUUGAUAUGUAUAAUAUUUUCAAUAUUUUCAAGAUAAAAUGGUGUUGAAUUCUUUUAACCGUGUUGUCAAGAUAAAUGUGUGCUUAAAUUUGUUUUGAGGUGUCCAAAAGCUUUCAAAUUUUAGAAUAGUGUUUACUUAGAUUAAUCUAAAUCAUUUACAUGAUAAAUUUUGUUAAAAAGAAAUUUUAUAAAUGUGAAGAUUAUCUCAAUGUGACACCAUUCAUCUGUAUUGAUCAUUGAUGCGAGUAAGGGGUGUUACAUUGACUCUUCGCACAACCUCUAAUCACUAUGUUAAUCGUCAUCUUCUCUUACACUAUUCUCUUUAUAUCGACAAUUUGGUUUGGUGAGUGUGGUCGGCAUGACUCAUCCUGUUAGCUUUAAUUUUUUAAUAUUUUGAUAUAACAAAUAAUCCAUCAUCAAAAGUCAUAUACCCAAGUAUUAGCUUUCAGUUCUAUUAAUUAUCAAUUAAACACAGGCUUUCAGUAUAUCAAAAUAUACGAGUUAGGCGCACAUAAUCCAUCACUUACUUUGGAUAGAGGUAAGACACUUUAUGAAUGUCAUUGAUGAAUAAAUCUUUAAACAAAUCUAGGAUUUAUUCUACUUGAGUCUUGUCUAAUGUAUUGUGAAUCCAAACAAUCACAUUUAUAUUUUUACAUUUUGAGAGUCAGUUGCUACGAUACCUAAGACAAAAUAUUUUCCUAAUUGGACUUGAUAAAUGGCAUAAUAGGCUUUUAAUCAAUUUGCUCAAUUCCAAUUAGACUAUGGAUCAUUUAUAUUACCUACUAAUAUAAGCUAUCUUAUCACAUAAUAAUCUAAUCACAUAAUGCAACUUAAUAUGAAUUAAACAUCAAAUAGUCAUUGAGCCAAUAUUUACUUGUUUAUUUUUCUUUGCGUGCAAAAAUCAUUGAAGACAAAUACAAACAAUACUAAUGUAAAUAAUAUAAUUUUAUUAAAUCAAUCUAUUCAAAAAAGUACAAUUACAUAUAAUAAUAAUAAUAAUAAUAAAACAACUUUAAAGACAUUAGAUGGUAAUAGAGAAUUACAAGCUUAUGAAAAUUUUAGAACUUAAAAGCCAAAUCGUGAAAAAGGGUCUUAAAAGGUGUAGAUAAUUUUAAAUUGUACUCAAAGUUAGUGUUUGUUAAUGGGAUAUUUUUGGUUAAUCUCGACGUGUAUUUUUUUACUCUUUCGCUGAUAGAAUUAUAUGUAAAAAAUGUUGCAUCACAAACUUUGGAAUUAAAGAAGCUGAUUUCUUGUAUCUACAGCAUUAUGUUUAAAAGUAUUUUCUUCAAACUUGUAUUAUUUUGAGUGAACUUUCUUUUAAAUUUUUAUUUGAGGUUGCCCUAUGUUAAAUUAAUAACAUUGUUAAACUAAGGGAAAUUUAGUGGAUUAAAAUGGAUAAAUUUGAUAUAGAAGGAGUUAAGAUUAAAAUAUUUACUAGGUAAUAAUUUUUUAUGUGUUUUUCAAGGUUAAAUGAUUUAUAAAUCAUUUGGGAGCACAUAUUAGAUACAUCAUAUAAAAGCAAUUCUGAUAUGUAGAAUCUCAUUAAUUUAAAAAGGGAGGGGUGAUUGAACGGAUUGUAUUUGUUGUGUUAAAGCAUGAAACAUAUUGCAAUCAUUUCAAUAUUUACUUUUGUAGGCAUCCAAACAUAGCAUUGCUAUCAAUUAAUUGUUUCCAGAAAGAUUUAAAGACGCCAAUCCGUUGGUAACAGUAUGGGCACUUGUACUAUGAUGGGAAUUUGCCAGCAUGUUAUUGCACUUCUUGUUUUGGUGGCAAUGAGCAAGUGUGCUACACAUUCACUUGUUUAUGUUAGAAUUGUGCAACCAGUGCUCUUCCUAAAUUGCUAUAGAUGGUAUUUUGGGGCCAUUUUCAUCCUAUGCAAAUCGUUUUGUUUUGAAAAUUUUAUUUUGAUUACUUAAUUUGAUAUUGUAACAGGCUUAUUUUGCCCAGCCCGAGCCCAAAUCAAUAAAAAAACACAAAUAUAAAAUAAAGUCCAAAAUUAUUAAAGUCUAUUUACAACAUCAAAAGCCCUAAUUUCAUCAAACCCAUCAUGUCAGCCCAAACCACAAUUAAACAGAAACAAACCCAUUACAAACCCUAACCUAGCCCAUGUAACACCCCUUACUCGUAUUCCGGCUCGGAACAGAGUAUGAGGUAUUACUAAGUUUUUUAAAAAAAAUUUCGACAGCAUUUCUGCUUAAUUUUGCUUAAACCUCCUGCAAAUUUAAAUCACAAUCCAAUAUAUAUAUAUCAACCAAACUCAUUUAUAAUAAUACUCACAAUUUAACUAUUAAUGAACACCACAUUUUAAAUCAAACCAUAACAUAUAUUUACAUGAUGAUUCCAUAUUUCAUAGGUCGUCUUUACAUGCCAUAAUUUUCCGGAACGAUAGUAGCAAAAUACCCCAAGUGUGAAGGAUAGUGUGGAUGAUUGUCUGACUUCGUUCCAAAUUUCCGAGUUGUCAGAAGUCACUCGGUGCAAAAUAUCGUAAUUUUGCACUUCACUCCACUAUCUUUUCUUUUCCUCGUUUGAGAUAAUCUUCACGUCUUUCUUGAUUAUGAGCUUGAGAAAGCAAAGAAACCUUAGCUAUGGCUUCCUUCAAAUUUCGGCAGCAACUAAUGAGGAAGAUGAUGAUUUUUGUCAUCUUUUUCCCAUUUUAUUUUUUUUUUAUUACCAAAUGACUAAUAUGCCCCCACUUAAAAAAAAUCUAUUUCUCUCAUUUCUUAUGUCUAUUUUUGUCCAUCAACUAACUAAUGGUCUAAUUACCACAUAAAGACCUCCAAUUUAAAAUUUCAUAUCAAUUAGAUACUUCUACAUAUAGAACUCAACUUUUGCACUAUUUACAAUUUAGUCCUUUUGACUAAAUUGAGUGCCCAAACGUCGAAAUUUUCGAACGAAAUUUUUACGAAAAUUUUCCGUGAAAUUGUAGACCAUAAAAAUAUAAUAAUAACCAUAUUUUCCCUCGUCGGAUUUGUGGUCCCGAAACCACUAUUCUGACUAGGCCCAAAAUCGGGCUGUUACAACUCUCCCCCUUUAAGGAUUUUCGUCCCCGAAAAUCUUACCGGAAAAGAGAUUUGGGUACUGUUUCCUCAUAAUUUCCUCCGGUUCCCACGUAGCUUCCUCCAUCCCAUGUUUUUGCCACAGUACUUUUACUAAGGAUACACUUUUAUUCCUUAACUGCUUGACUUCCCGAGCCAAAAUCUUUAUUGGUUCUUCCUCAUAAGUCAUAUCUGGUCUGACCUCAAUCUCUGUAGGGGAAACUAUAUGUGAAGGAUCCGAACGGUAACGUCGCAACAUCGACACAUGAAACACAUUAUGUAUCUUUUCCAACUCCGGUGGUAAAGCUAACCGAUAUGCUACAGGGCCAACUCUCUCGGUAACUUCAUAUGGUCCAAUAAAUCGUGGACUUAGUUUGCCUUUACGACCAAAUCUCAGAAUCUUCUUCCAUGGAGACACCUUCAAGAACACCUUAUCACCUACUUGAAACUCAAUUUCUUUUCUCUUUAAAUCCGCAUACGACUUUUGCCGAUCUGAGGCAGCCUUUAAACAGUCACGAAUUAUUUUCACCUUUUUUUCAGUUUCUUUCACCAAGUCGACUCCAUGAAUCCGGUUCUCACCGAGCUCAGUCCAAUAUAAAGGAGUUCUACACUUACGCCCAUAUAAUGCUUCAUACGGUGCCAUUCGUAUACUUGACUGAUAGCUAUUGUUAUAAGCAAAUUCAACCAAUGGUAGAUAUUUCUCCCAACUGCCUUUCAAUUCUAAAAUACAACACCGGAGCAUAUCUUCAAGAAUUUGAAUCACUCUUUCUGAUUGCCCGUCAGUUUGCGGAUGAAACGCAGUACUGAAAUUCAAUUUUGUACCCAAGGCUUCCUGCAACUUUAUCCAAAACCUCGAAGUAAAUCUCGGAUCUCUAUCCGAUAUAAUAGAUUUAGGCACCCCAUGUAAUUUCACUAUUUCAGCAACAUAUAAUUCUGCCAACCUGUCAAGUGAGUAAUCAAUGCGUAUCGGAAUAAAAUGAGCCGACUUUGUCAAUCUAUCAACAAUUACCCAAAUAGCAUCUUUCUUCUUUGGAGUUAAAGGCAAUCCUGUCACAAAAUCCAUCGUAAUACUAUCCCACUUCCACUCUGGAAUCGUUAUCGGUUGAAGUAAACCCGAUGGUACUUGAUGCUCAGCCUUCACUUGUUGACAGAUUAAACACUUUGAUACAAAUUCCGAGAUAUCCUUUUUCAUGCCUGGCCACCAAUACAACUUCUUCAAAUCAUUAUACAUUUUCACACUACCCGGAUGAACUGACAAGUCACCACUAUGUGCCUCACAUAAAAUGGUCUGAAUUAACUCAUCAUUUCUUGGUACACAUACUCUAUCCCGGAACAUCAAGCAAUCAUCUGAACCAAUUUGAAAAUCUGAGUCAACACCUGCUUCACACUGAGCUCUCUUGGCUUGCAAUUUACUGUCAUUCUUUUGAGAUUCCCGAAUUUGCUGAAGAAAUAAUGGUCUAGCUCUCAAUUCAACCAACAUUGAGCCAUCAUCAGAUAAAGUUAACAUCGUACCCAUAGCUCUCAAAGCAAAUAAAGAUUUUCUACUCAAGGCAUCAGCAACCACAUUAGCUUUCCCGGGGUGAUAAUCAAUCACUAGCUCAUAGUCUUUGAUUAGCUCGAGCCAUCUUCGUUGCCGCAAAUUCAAAUCUUUUUGGCUCAUCAAAUACUUCAAACUCUUAUGAUCAGUGAAGAUUCGGCACUUUUCACCAUACAAAUAAUGACGCCAAAUUUUUAAAGCAAAAACAAUGGCAGCCAAUUCUAAAUCAUGCGUCGGAUAAUUCUUCUCAUGCGGUUUCAAUUGUCUCGAAGCAUAAGCUAUUACUUUGCCCUCUUGCAUUAACACACACCCAAGACCAUUCAACGAUGCAUCACUGUAAAUUACAAACUCCUUCCCGGACUCAGGUUGCACCAACACUGGCGCCUCAGUCAAUAAUGCCUUCAACUUUUCAAAACUCUGUUGACAUUUAGUGGUCCAUUCAAACUUGACAUUCUUCUGCAGUAACUUAGUCAUAGGAGAAGCAAUCAUCGAAAAUCCCUUGACAAAGCGUCUGUAAUACCCAGCUAAGCCCAGAAAGCUUCUAACUUCUGUCACAUUCUUUGGUGGCUCCCAAUCAACAAUUGCUGAAAUUUUGCUUGGAUCAACCCGAAUACCUUCACUUGAAACUAUAUGUCCCAAGAAUCCAACCUCACGAAGCCAAAAAUCACUUUUGCUGAAUUUAGCAUACAAUUUCUUUUCUCUCAGAAUCUGCAACACAGUUCUUAAAUGUUCUGCAUGCUCAGAUUCAUCCCGAGAAUAGAUUAAAAUAUCAUCUAUGAACACCACCACGAACUUAUCCAAGUACGGCCGAAAAAUUCGGUUCAUCAAGUCCAUAAAAAUAGCUGGAGCAUUUGUUAACCCAAAAGGCAUUACCAGAAAUUCAUAGUGUCCAUACCUUGUUAUAAAGGCGGUUUUCGGCACAUCAGACUCUUUAACUCUUAACUGAUAGUAACCAGACCUCAAAUCAAUCUUAGAAAACACUGUUGCCCCUUUUAAUUGAUCAAAUAAAUCAUCAAUUCUCGGCAAAGGAUACUUGUUCUUUAUAGUCACCUUGUUGAGCUGACGAUAGUCAAUACAAAGUCUCAUAGAGCCGUCUUUUUUUUCACAAAUAACACAGGAGCACCCCAAGGAGAAAAACUCGGUCUCACAAAUCCUUUAUCUGUCAACUCUUGUAACUGAGCUUUUAAUUCCUUCAACUCAGUCGGAGCCAUUCGAUACGGUGCAAUAGAAAUCGGUGCAGUACCAGGUAACAGAUCAAUAGAAAACUCAACUUCUCUAAUCGGAGGUAACCCAGGCAAUUCCUCUGGAAAUACAUCUGGAAAUUCACAAACUACCGGCACUGAUUCAAGCUUUGACCCAGUAAUAUCCGUGUUCAGCACAUAAGCAAGAUAAACUUCACAUCCCUUUCUCAAGUAUUUCUGAGCAGACAUGUGCGAAAUCACCAUAGGCAACUUAUUCGGCUCCUUUGUUUCAACCCGGAGAAUUUCACCGUUUUCACAAUUUAAUUCAAGAAUUUUCUGUCUACAAUUUACCUUGGCAUCAUGCAAUAUCAACCAAUCCAUCCCCAAAAUAACAUCAAACUCAUCAAAUGGUAACAACAUCAAAUUAGCCGGGAAACAGUGACCUUGAAUCAUCAGGGGACAAUUCUUGCAAACCUUAUCGACUAAGACAUAUUUGCCUAAAGGAUUUGAUACUUUAACUACAAAUUCAGUGUUUUCAACAGGCAAUUUCUUACUAGACACCAAAUUCAUGCAUAUAUAUGAAUGAGUAGAGCCGGGAUCAAUCAAAGCAAUAACAUCAAUAUCAUGAAGAGAAAAUGUACCAGUAAUCACAUCGGGAGAUGAGGCAUCCUCUCGAGCGCGUAUAGCAUAAGUCCUGGCAGGCGCUCUAGUUUCUGAUCCUCCAGCUGCAUCUUUUAUCACACUCUUACCACUGGCUUUGCUUCCCACAUUUCUCGGUGGUCUGCCUCUACUGACAACAUCACCCGAUCCAGCUCUUUGUAAUCUUUCUUCUUCUAUUCUCUCAGGGCAGUCUUUUACAUAAUGCUCUUGGGAACCACAUCUGAAACAAGCUCGUUUAAAUCCCCAACACUCACCAGUAUGUCGCCUGCCACACUGUUGACAUUCAGGUCUGGUGUUUCCUACAUUACCCACACUUGCCACUGAGGUAGCUCGAGUUGUAGUUCCGGAAUAUGACCUCCCUCUGUCUCUGCGUGAAUACCCAACUGAACCGGUUGGUCGUGGAUCCAUCCCUUUAAACUUCUUCGGGUGAGAUUGAAAUGUUCUGCCCAUUGACCUCUUCCUUACAUCUCGAGCUUCCAUCUCUGCCCUUCUCUUUUCUCUACUCAGCUCUUCAGCUUUGCAAGCACGAUCAACUAGUACCACAAAUUCUUUUAACUCUAAAAUUCCAACAUGUAAUCUGAUGUCUUCAUUUAGCCCCUCUUCAAAUCUUUUACACAUAAUAGCCUCCGUAGGCACACAUUCCUGGGCAUAUUUACUAAGCCGGACAAACUCCCGUUCAUAUUCUGCUACUGACAUUCGGCCCUGUUUCAAUCCGAGAAACUCUUUGCGCUUCUGAUCAAUAAACCGUUGGCUUACAUAUUUCUUUCUGAAUUCUUCCUGAAAGAAGUCCCAAGUAACUCUUUCUUUUGGAACCACCGUUAUUAAUUUUUUCCACCAACGGUAUGCCGAAUCCUUCAAUAAAGACACAGCACAUUUCAAACAUUCCUCAGGAGUACAAGAUAAUUCAUCAAAUACCUGGAUAGUAUUUUCAAGCCAAAACUCAGCUUUUUCCGGAUCAUCAUCAACAUUGGCCCUGAAAUCUUCAGCCCCAUGCUUUCGAAUUCUAUCAACGGGUGGUUUACUUGAUCUCACCAAUUCAGCACUUCGUGGAGCUACGGGGACCGGCGGAGGAAUAGGAGGGGGUGGAGGAGGUGGAACAUUCGGAUUUACACGGACAUAUUCUGUAUACCAAUCACUCAUCAUUCGGAGGAAGGCUUCUCGAGCCUCAUCCUGUCCAUGUGUCUCAUGUCUACUCUCUUCAUGCGCGGUCCCUUGUGCGGGAACCGGCGUGUUACUUUCAACAUCAUCUGCCAUACUUCGAUUAGGAUCCAUUUACUAUAUAAAACAAAUUUUUAAAUUGUCAGAAAUCAUCACACUAUCACAAUAUAUUGAUGGCAUGUAUAGACUGACUUUCACACAUAUUUUAUUGGUCCGAGAACCGACUAAACCGUAGCUCUGAUACCACUAAAAUGUAACACCCCUUACUCGUAUUCCGGCUCGGAACAGAGUAUGAGGUAUUACUAAGUUUUUUAAAAAAAAUUUCGACAGCAUUUCUGCUUAAUUUUGCUUAAACCUCCUGCAAAUUUAAAUCACAAUCCAAUAUAUAUAUAUCAACCAAACUCAUUUAUAAUAAUACUCACAAUUUAACUAUUAAUGAACACCACAUUUUAAAUCAAACCAUAACAUAUAUUUACAUGAUGAUUCCAUAUUUCAUAGGUCGUCUUUACAUGCCAUAAUUUUCCGGAACGAUAGUAGCAAAAUACCCCAAGUGUGAAGGAUAGUGUGGAUGAUUGUCUGACUUCGUUCCAAAUUUCCGAGUUGUCGGAAGUCACUCGGUGCAAAAUAUCGUAAUUUUGCACUUCACUCCACUAUCUUUUCUUUUCCUCGUUUGAGAUAAUCUUCACGUCUUUCUUGAUUAUGAGCUUGAGAAAGCAAAGAAACCUUAGCUAUGGCUUCCUUCAAAUUUCGGCAGCAACUAAUGAGGAAGAUGAUGAUUUUUGUCAUCUUUUUCCCAUUUUAUUUUUUUUUAUUACCAAAUGACUAAUAUGCCCCCACUUAAAAAAAAUCUAUUUCUCUCAUUUCUUAUUUCUAUUUUUGUCCAUCAACUAACUAAUGGUCUAAUUACCACAUAAAGACCUCCAAUUUAAAAUUUCAUAUCAAUUAGAUACUUCUACAUAUAGAACUCAACUUUUGCACUAUUUACAAUUUAGUCCUUUUGACUAAAUUGAGUGCCCAAACGUCGAAAUUUUCGAACGAAAUUUUUACGAAAAUUUUCCGUGAAAUUGUAGACCAUAAAAAUAUAAUAAUAACCAUAUUUUCCCUCGUCAGAUUUGUGGUCCUGAAACCACUAUUCCGACUAGGCCCAAAAUCGGGCUGUUACAGCCCAAACCCAUAACAGAAAAAACAAAAAUUUUCAAACCCUAGGUGCGCCGCACCUAGGUCUUCUUCCCUAGCCAUCAGCCACCGCCCCUAGCAUCAACCACUCCAACUGCUCUGCCGCCAACCACCCUGCAAAGAAGAAAGAACAUGCAAGAUCAGUAGCAAAAAAGGAAGGAAAAACAGUAUUUGUAAAUCGGCUAUAAAGCCAUAGAAACCGAUUUGUAAUGGGGGGAUUUUGGGAAUAAAAAAUAAGGAGAUUGUGAAUGUAAAAUCAGUGUUUUCAAGCAUAUAUUUGAAUACAAAAAAAAAAGCAUUGAAGAAAAAAAUAGAUUCAAAGGUGCCAAAGUCCCCCUUUCUUUUUUCUUUUAUUUUCAUUUUUUGACUACACAUACAUACAUGUUUUCUCUAUUUAAAAAAAACAAUAUAUAUUUAUAUAAAUAUAGCAAUAAAAAAUAAAAAAUUUACCUUUUUUCGAUUUCUGGCGACCGGAGCCCUAUUGGCCGAUGAAGAAGGGAGAAGGGAGAUAAAAGGGGUUGAGAGAGUUUUUUAAACUCCUUUUGUUUUGAAGGCUGAAAAAUGAAAUUUUUUAUAAUUUUUUUGCUUUUAUAAGUGCACAAAACGGCGCCAUUUUGGUGUCAGCAUACAUAGGCCAAAACGACGCCUUUUUGGCCUCAACCCGCGCAUGCGACCCGACCCGCUAGGGGAUUAGCGCUUUUUUGUUCUGAUAGGCUAUUUACGCCCGCGGUCCUUCCACAUUUUUGUUUUCUUUUAAUUUAAUCCCUUUUUUAUUGUCCUUUUAUUUUUUAAAUUUGGCCACGCAAAUUUUCUUGGUGUUCAAUUCGGUCCCUAAUGCGCGGAUGAGCUGGGUGAUGGACACGUGUCCGGAGGCUGGGUAUUUUACCCGUUUAGUCCUCAAACCUUGGACAUCUUUUAUUUUUGACCCUGUAUUUUUAUUUUAUUAUAGUUUUUAUCUUUGAUUUCAUUUUUGUUCCAAUUUAGUCCUUGAGCAGUUUGGUUUUUAUCCUUUUAUUAUUUAUUAUUUUUUAUAUGCAUUAUUUAUUUUGGUAUAUUAGCUCUUUAACUGUAUUAUGAACCAUGUAUUUAAAUUUGCUUUACCGAUUUUAUAUUAAACUCACUUAUUUUAUUUAUUUUAAAUAUCCUCUUUUAUUGAUUAUUAAUUUUAUUAAAUUAUUUAUCUUAGAUAUUUUUUUUAUAAAAAUUAUUUGUUUUUAAAUCAUUUCACAUGUUAUCUAUUUUAAAUUUUUACAUGCAAUAAUUAACUUUAACUAUUCUAUAUGCUGUUCAUUUUAAAUUUCUAUAUAAUAUUCAUAUUAAAUUGUUUUAAUACAUAUUAUUUCGAUUUUUUUCUUUUUUAUAUCAAUUAUUCUACAUUACCUUAUUUAUUUAUUUUAAACUCUUUUUGUAUAUUGUUUUUUUAAUUGUUUAUUAUUAUAAAUUUAUAUAUAAUGUUCAUUCUUAAACUUCCUUUUUAUAUAUGGAUUAUUUAUUUCCAAAUUUUUAUAUAUUGAUUAUCUUAAACUUUUUUACAUUAUUUAUUUUAUUAUUAAAUUUCUUAUUACAUAUUAUUUAUUUUAGACUUUUUUAUUAAUGAUUUUAAAUUGUUUUAUAUUAUUCACUUUAAAUUGUUUUCUAUAAUAUCUAUUUUAAACCUAUUUUUUAUGUAUUACUUAUUUAAAAUUGUUUCAGUAUUUAUUUUAAAUAGUUUUAUGUUAUUUAUUUCAUUCUCUUGAUUACUAUUGUUGGUAUUUAACUGACGUGUGCCAUGUGAUUAUUGCCCAUGUGUGUUUUAUAAUUCGCUUUUCUGUAUUUUCAUAUCAUUGUUAUUUACUUGUAUAAUAUUGUAUCCAUGCAUUAUUAUUCCAUGCACAUUACUAUAUUCUUAUUUCAUGUCAUCGUAUCGUGUAUUAAGUUUCAACAUGCUUAUCCAAUAUGGAUCAUUUUAUUUUACUCCAAAAAAAAUAAUGCACAUCGUUAAAUAUCAUACUCGCUAUAUUUUAAAAAGAAAAUUUUAAAAAUAAAGGUAAUAAUCUUUUUUUUGGGGAUUCGAGUGAUCAUGCCCUAACGUGCUGGGUUUCGAUUUUUUUGUUUGACCCAGAUAACCGAAUAACCUUUUAAAAUUAAGGUGCAUGAGUUUUGAAAAUCCAAAGACCGGCUUACUCUCGAGGGUUUUAAAAUGUUGUAUCCUACCGUGUUGGAUGUGACAUUUUAUUACUUUGGGACGAGAAGGUCUUUAACAUCUGCUUCGAUUUAUCUAAACAUCUUUGCAAAAUUAACAUUAAUAAAAAGAGGGAUCGUAUUCUAAAUUCUUUUCGAGUUUUUAAAUUUCGACAUUAAAACAUUAAUUAAUCAAUUAGGUACCAAUUUUAGGCGUUACGAGGGUGUUAAUCCUUCCUCGUACGUAACUAACUCCCGAACCCGUUUUCUUGAAUUUCGUAGACCAAAAUUGUUGUUUUAGCAAAAUAAAAUAUUUUGUUAAAACAAUCAAAUUACGAGGUGAUCCGAUCACACCUAAAUAAAAAAAGAUUGGUGAUGACUCCCGUUUUUAUUCGUUUUUAUUUUCAAAACAACGUCGAUUCCCAUUAAAAAAAAUGGUUUCGACAGAUAUGAUAAAUGAUUGUUUGAGGUGUUUGAAUACUUGGUAUUAUUCUCAACGAACUCAUAUGACUUUAAAUCUAAAAAAUAAUAGCAUUUUUUGUUUGUCAUAAUAAAUAUUAAUCCAACCUAAUUUUACAUGAUGCACUAAUUAUCUUGCAAGGUUAAGUAAUCAUUGACUCAUACAUUAUAGCUUUAUUGUUAUUGUAAAAGAGCUAUAUCGACGGUCAGAUUUUAAAUAAGUAAUACUUACAUUUAGUUUUCGAAAAUAAUUUUUAACCAAUGUCAAAUUUCUUUUCACUUCCUACAUUUUUAUAUGAGGUUUUUUUGUCUCCUUUCAAAAUUUUAAAGUCGAGAGAAAGUGUUUCAUUUCAUUCAUCAAAAGUUGUACGUGUUGUUCUCUACUCUCCACAAACAUGCAAAGAUGAGUCAUUCUGCUAGUUGCUAUGCUUCUUAAAGAGGAGUCAAUCCAAAAGCAAAAGAUAAAGAAAUACCGGUUCAAGCGGGUUUUUUCCGGUUUAAUACUAGUUUGAAGCAGUUUACAUAAACCUUUGUAUAAUAGUAGUAGUUGAACUAUUAGAUUUGUUGAUUUGCAAUUGAAGCGAUUCUACUAUUGGAUCUACCUAACCUUCCGUUCUCCGCUAAUCACUGAAUGAACCCUCAUCUUCUUCUACACUAUCCUCUUCAUACCAACAAACUCCUAUGGAUGGUUAAAGUUCAAUGUAAACACCUGUUUUUGUUAGGAAUUUAUAUAUUGACAUUUACGUUACCUUUGAUUUUUUAGUUAUUUGCUAUUCGUUGUCUAAGAUCCUAAUUUGGGAAUUUUAUACCCCAUUUUGCUUACCCACUUCGCUUUUCAGAUUAUUUAUUUAUUUAUUUUAUUCUUAUUUUUUAUUUUUACUUUAAGGUUAACUUAUCAUUUUAAAAUAUAAAGUAGUGUGUUGCAAGUUGACAAUGCUUCCACUUUGGUGGUUGCCUUCUUUGACAUCACUUUGAUGUUCACCUUUACUAGUGCUGGCAAAUAGGCGGGCUCGCAUGAGUUAAACACUCAGAUUUUUUAUAUUGAUUGGAUUCUACAAUUCUAAUUGUAUUAUGAAACUAGAAAAAGAAAAAAGAAAUAGCGUAACAUUUUGUUAAAAGUACAUAAACCUAACUUCCUUAGCUUACGUAAUUAAGAUCUCCCUUGGCCAAUGAUUUUAGUAUUUACGUACAGCAUUUCUAAUUUUGUAUAACUAAAAGUAUCAAACUGAUCUAUAACUAAGUUUAUAGGAAGAAUGAAGCAUUAAUCGGUGUUAGAAACGGUAUUGGACGUUAUUAGUUUAAAUCCUUUGUAUCCGAUGAUAUCCACAUCCAUUUAUGCCUCCUCCAAAUAGUGCAGAAUGUCAUAUGAACUACUUCAUCACCCAGUGAUACCAGAAACACAGAGAAGCCCAUCAAGAUCACCCCAACGUGUCGGCUCUAUCUUCGUGAAACUUGUCUGAAACAUUUUCUAUAAAAGCGGUCCAUCUAGGCACCAUCCUACUUUGAAUUGUGCUAUGCCCCGAAGACUGGAUGUAAGAUUCGGUCUGAUAAUUAUUAGUAGAAGUAGUAAUGUUUGGGCUAACCCCCGAGCUACUAGGACUCAAGAUAGGAGGCUGCGUCGGAAAAGGGAUUUCGCAAGUAUCAUCAGUAAGUAUUUGCACAAUUGUUGACAUUGAUGGUCGCAAUUCUGUUGAGGCUUGUACACAGAGUAGGCCAAUUUGAAGCAAUCUACACGCCUUUUCUCGAAAAUUGUGCUCUGUAACUGGAUCAACAACUUCCCUGAGCUAAUCUGCUUCAUAUUGAUUCCAUACCUUCCAAUUCAAAUAUAUAUAUCUUGCAUCAGUUUAAGACCCCAGAAUUAGAGACAAAAAAAUUAUCACAAAAGCAUAGCGUAGUUGAUAAGCUCUGCAAAAUGAAUUACCAUGUGUAGGAUGCAGACCAUAUCCGGAGAAAAGCACUUGUUCCUCUUCCCGCAAGUAAUUUCAAUAACGAGAACACUGAAACUAUAAACAUUAGCCUUUUGAGUCAACAUGCCACGAACAGCGUAUUCUGGAGCCAUGUAACCUCUAGAGAUGCCAAAUAAUUGAAUUCAUGGUUAGUAAUAUGCAAAUUAAGGUAAUGUGCAACGUUUCAAAUAUUCAUCAACUUACAAAGUGCCAGCGAUGGCGGUGCUGAUGUGAGUCUUAUCUUCCGGAAAAAGUCUAACAAAGCCAAAAUCAGCAAUCCUCGGAUCAUCCAGCCAUGUUCUAAAGAUCAUCUUCCGUAGAAGGAACUGUGGGUGACAGUGGCAAUUGAAUCAUUAUCAGCUCGGUUGAGGGGAUAGCAUUCUUUGUCACUUGUCUCAUUGAAUUCCAUCUUUUCAUCCAAAAAAGGUGGAUUAGUAGGUGCAGGGAGGUCUUCAUCUUUCUUUGUUAGCAAGUGUAGUACCUUCGACAUUGAUGGUCUUAGUGACGGGAUCUCUUGGGUGCAAAGAAGUCCAAUUUGUA
This 18494-nucleotide long non-coding RNA is filed under the name Gossypium barbadense (sea-island cotton). Its description in RNAcentral is "long non-coding RNA (GBAR_LNC011746)". Lineage: Eukaryota; Viridiplantae; Streptophyta; Magnoliopsida; Malvales; Malvaceae. The record is from RNAcentral.